Molecule: transfer RNA, 84 nt
Filed under: Arthrobacter phage Nandita
Lineage: Duplodnaviria; Heunggongvirae; Uroviricota; Caudoviricetes
Also listed under: 2 other names
Description: tRNA-Ser
Rfam family: tRNA
About the family: Transfer RNA (tRNA) molecules are approximately 80 nucleotides in length.
Source: RNAcentral
GGAAGAUACGCGAACGGUUAGCAGCCUCUUUGCUAAAGAGGUACGGCUGAAAGGCCCAGCGGGUUCGACUCCCGCAUCUUCCGC